Non-coding RNA from Phrynosoma platyrhinos (Desert horned lizard), 72 nucleotides. The record is from the annotation of a GenBank genome assembly. NCBI's taxonomy places the organism in Eukaryota, Metazoa, Chordata, Lepidosauria, Squamata, Phrynosomatidae.
GCCAGCGUAGUAUAGUGGUUUGAGUGCUGGACUUUGACUCUGGCGACCAAGGUUCAAAUCCCGGCUCAGCCA